Aegilops tauschii subsp. strangulata is the source of this 1178-nucleotide long non-coding RNA. RefSeq lists it as uncharacterized. Lineage: Eukaryota; Viridiplantae; Streptophyta; Magnoliopsida; Poales; Poaceae. The record is from RefSeq and is a predicted model, not a curated record.
GGUACCAACGGUCGGUCAUUCAUAGAUGCAUAGCAGUCGAACAUCUUAUAGCCCGAUAGACAAAGAGGCAAUCACGGCGUAGCAGUCGAACAUCUUAUAGCCCGAUAGACAAAGAGGCAAUCACGAUCUACAUAACGCAUUGAUUGCUCGUGUUACCCAAUGACAAUAUAUCUAGAUAAAUAUGAUAGUUACAAGUAGUAUUAGCCAUGAACAGUCGUUCAUGCAUGAGAGCAUUAAUUUCAUUAAUACUAGGCAUUAUGACACUCCUCAUAUAGCACUCUAUAUAAGCUGGGAGGAGGCCACCGGGCUGAAGUCUAGAGCCUCAGUUUUGAUUAAUACGCAAGAGUAAGAACACCACCACAGGAGUAGGAUAUUUCCUCAUUCAACCAGGAUCCGAACAUGUAUAAUCCCUAAUGUGUUUUCCCAUCUGGAUGUUUUGGUUGAUACGACCGACCCUACUUACAUUCCCCCGUAGUAUUAUCAGGACUACAUCAAUAACACCAUCCCUCGAAAUGCUUUUCUAUAAUUACACCUCGGUGUUAAACAAUUACACACAACCAGCAAGAUAGUCUGCGCUACUGAGUACCUAGUACUUUGAACUCCUCAAAUAAUAGGAUUUUAUCUAUUUAAUACCAUAGGUUUGACCGGAUCAUAUCUAAUAAUGGUGCACAGUUUAGAGUAUCUCCCUAAUUUAUAUUGGCAUAGAUAUAGAGAUAUAUGAUAACAUUAAAUGGAUAUCAUCUUGAAGAUAGAACUAACUUGCGAUCUUAUUUGAGUGAACAUGGAGUAAAUGUUCUCUAGCUACAGGGCUAUAAAUAUCACUAGCAUUAUAUGCUUCUCCCCAAAAAGAAACGAGAAGAAGAAAUUUGUUAUUGAUAGUAUGGAGCAGAAACCUAUUCUUCUUUGCCUUAUGGUGCUUCUGCUGCUGGGAAAUUGUACUCAUGCUGAGAAUUGCAAAACUGAAACAGCUUUUGGAACCACCCUAUGCGCAUUUGUUACUUGCCUAAGCACCUGCAUAUCUGUGUGGGGGAAUCUUGUGAAACAAGCAGAUUGUAAGCCUGUCAGACCUUACUAUACAAUUUGUACUUGUCUCGUAUGUGUCUAGAAUUACACUUUGCCAUCAUGUCGAACAAUGGGCAAUGGUGUGAUCCAGUAAUAAAAUCUUCUUGUCAAAUGGA